Molecule: ribosomal RNA, 448 nt
Filed under: uncultured bacterium
Lineage: Bacteria
Description: bacterial SSU rRNA
Rfam family: Bacterial small subunit ribosomal RNA
Source: RNAcentral
CGCUGGCGGCGUGCUUAACACAUGCAAGUCGAGCGGUAAGGCCCUUCGGGGUACACGAGCGGCGAACGGGUGAGUAACACGUGAGCAAUCUGCCCUCCACAUCGGGAUAACCCCCGGAAACGGGAGCUAAUACCGGAUACGACCAUUUCAGGCAUCUGAUGGUGGUGGAAAGUUCUGGCGGUGGAGGAUGAGCUCGCGGCCUAUCAGCUUGUUGGUGGGGUAAUGGCCCACCAAGGCUUCGACGGGUAGCCGGCCUGAGAGGGUGACCGGCCACACUGGGACUGAGACACGGCCCAGACUCCUACGGGAGGCAGCAGUGGGGAAUAUUGGACAAUGGGCGAAAGCCUGAUCCAGCAACGCCGCGUGAGGGAUGACGGCCUUCGGGUUGUAAACCUCUUUCAGCGCAGACGAAGCGAAAGUGACGGUAUGCGCAGAAGAAGCACCGGCC